GCGGAGGAGAAAGUCCGCCUUGCUCGCAAGAGAUUGCUCACGGCGCAGUCCAGACAGCAAAGUUAUGCAGAUAGGCGCCGUCGAGAUAUAGAAUUUGCGGUGGGUGACCGCGUAUUCUUGAAGGUUAGGUGGAGCAAUCAUGACGAUCGCGAAGCCACCUGGGAACUCGAGGAUCUGAUGAGAAAACACCAUCCUCAUCUAUUUGAGGAGUAAGGUACGGAUUUGAAUUAAAAUAAAGAAUUGAGUUAGUUUCGAGGACGAAACUCCUUUUAAGGAGGGGAGGAUGUAAGGAAGUGAAUUUUCGAAAUGUGAGGAUUGUACUUCAUCCAGGAUCGACUAAUUGUCGAGAGUAUACCCUUUGUGGGAGUUGGGAAUGUCCAAAGCACAA
This 388-nucleotide long non-coding RNA is filed under the name Ananas comosus (pineapple). RNAcentral describes it as "long non-coding RNA (ACOM_LNC035220)". The record is from RNAcentral. Lineage: Eukaryota; Viridiplantae; Streptophyta; Magnoliopsida; Poales; Bromeliaceae.